AAUGAACGUUGGCGGCAUGGAUUAGGCAUGCAAGUCGAGCGCAAAGCGUAGCAAUACGUGGAAAGCGGCGAAAGGGAGAGGAACAAAUGGGAACCUACCUCGGGGCCUGGAAUAGCGGCGGGAAACUGCCGGUAAUGCCAGAUGAUGUCUCCGGACCAAAGGCUUGCCACCCUGAGACGGGCCCAUUUCCUAUCAGCUAGAUGGUGAGGUAACGGCUCACCAUGGCUAAGACGGGUACGGGGUGUGAGAGCAUGCCCCCGCUCACUGGGACUGAGACACUGCCCAGACACCUACGGGUGGCUGCAGUCGAGAAUCUUCGGCAAUGGGCGCAAGCCUGACCGAGCAAUGCCGCGUGCGGGAUGCAGGCCUUCGGGUUGUAAACCGCUGUCGAGGGGGAUUAAGAGAAAUUUGAAUGAUCCCUGGAGGAAGGGUCGGCUAAUCUCGUGCCAGCCGCC
RNAcentral lists this ribosomal RNA (455 nucleotides) under uncultured bacterium. RNAcentral describes it as "bacterial SSU rRNA". It matches the Rfam family "Bacterial small subunit ribosomal RNA", at positions 29 to 516 of the family's 1533-position model. The record is from RNAcentral.